RNAcentral lists this ribosomal RNA (253 nucleotides) under uncultured bacterium. RNAcentral describes it as "partial 16S ribosomal RNA". It matches the Rfam family "Bacterial small subunit ribosomal RNA", at positions 524 to 776 of the family's 1533-position model. The record is from RNAcentral.
UACAGAGGGUGCGAGCGUUAAUCGGAAUUACUGGGCGUAAAGCGUGCGCAGGCGGUCUUUUAAGUCAGAUGUGAAAUCCCCGGGCUUAACCUGGGAACUGCGUCUGAUACUGGAUGGCUUGAAUCCGGGAGAGGGAUGCAGAAUUCCAGGUGUAGCGGUGAAAUGCGUAGAUAUCUGGAGGAAUACCGGUGGCGAAGGCGGCAUCCUGGACCGGCAUUGACGCUGAGGAGCGAAAGCCAGGGGAGCAAACGGG